AUGGCUGUACUCUCUCUCGCCGCGUGCGUCGCCUUCUUCCAUCUCCUCCUUCUCUUCUCUUCGUCUUCCUCUCUCCGCGUAGCCCCCGAAGCGGCGGAGAGCUCGGGAUCGGCGCCCCAUGGCCGGACCGCCUACCACUUCCAGCCCGCCAAGAACUGGCAGAACGAUCCGAAUGGGCCAAUGUACCACAACGGCAUGUACCACUUGUUCUACCAGUACAACCCGCACGGCGCCACCUGGGGCGUCGGCAACCUCUCCUGGGGCCACUCCGUCUCCGGCGACCUCGUGAACUGGGCCGCCCUCGACGCCGCGCUCGAGCCCACCUCGCCGUUCGACGCCAACGGCUGCUGGUCGGGCUCCGCCACCAUCCUCCCCGGCGGCGUCCCGGCCAUCCUCUACACCGGCAUCAGCGCCGACGGCGAGCAGGUCCAAAACGUGGCCUUCCCCAAGAACGCGUCCGACCCGCUCCUCCGUGAGUGGGUGAAGCCGAGCUACAACCCCGUCAUCCCGCUCCCCGCUGACGUCCCCGCGGAUUUCUUCCGCGACCCUUCCACGGCGUGGCUCGGCCGCGACGGUCUGUGGCGCCUCGCCGUAUCGGCCAAGGUCGGUAACGCCGUGGGGUCUACGCUCAUCUACCGAAGCAAGGACUUCCGGCUGUGGGAGCGGAAUGCCGCCCCGCUGCAAGAGUCACGCGCCGCCGGCAUGGUGGAGUGCCCGGACCUGUUCCCGGUGGCGGAGCCCGGCGUGGAGGAGGGGCUCGACCACGCGCCGAGGACCGGCACCGGGGUGAGGCAAGUGCUGAAGCUGAGCGCGAUGGACACGUUUCAGGACUACUACGCGGUCGGGCGUUACAACGACACGUCGGACACCUUUGAACCGGAGGACGACGGCGACGACUGCCAGAGCUGGCGCCGCCUCGACUACGGCCACGUGUACGCGUCCAAGUCCUUCUUCGACGCGCGCAAGAACCGGCGCGUGCUCUGGUCAUGGGCCAACGAGACCGACAGCCAGGCCGACGACGUCGCCAAGGGCUGGUCCGGCGUCCAGAUCUUCCCACGGAAGGUAUGGCUGGACAACGACGGGAAGCAGCUAAGGCAAUGGCCAAUCGAGGAGAUCAAGACGCUGAGGAGCAGAAAGGUCGGGUUGCUGGGAAUGGUGGUGAACUCCGGCGGCGUGAACGAGAUCGUCGGCGUCGCGGGCACACAGGCGGACGUGGAGGUGAUCUUCCAGAUCCCGGCCCUGGAGGGAGCCGAGAGCUUCGAGCCCAACUGGCUGCUGGAUCCGCAGAGGCUGUGCGGGGAGAAGGGCGCGUCCGUGCCCGGCGGGGUCGGCCCGUUCGGGCUGCUCGUCAUGGCCUCCGGCGACCUGCAGGAGCACACCGCCGUCUUCUUCAGGGUGUUCAGGCACCAUGACAAGUACAGAGUCCUCAUGUGCACCGACCUGAGCAGGUCAACUACAAGAGCCGGGGUGUACAAGCCACCGUACGGGGCUUUCGUGGACAUGGACAUCGAAGCGCACGGCGGGAUCAUCUCGCUCAGAACACUGGUUGACCACUCGGUGGUGGAGAGCUUCGGCGGCGGAGGCCGGACGUGCAUCACGGCGAGGGUGUACCCGGAGCACGCCGAGAACGGCAACAGCCACCUGUACGUGUUCAACAACGGGACAGGUGCGGUGAAGGUGGCCAAGCUCGAGGCGUACGAGCUGGCGACGGCGACCGUGAACGUUGGGGACGACGGGUUGAUUCAGCCGAGUUCCAUGCGCAAAGGUGAAGCGUAG
RNAcentral lists this ribosomal RNA (1776 nucleotides) under Triticum aestivum (bread wheat). RNAcentral's name for it is "partial small subunit ribosomal RNA". Lineage: Eukaryota; Viridiplantae; Streptophyta; Magnoliopsida; Poales; Poaceae. The record is from RNAcentral.